UGGGGAAUAUUGCACAAUGGAGGGAACUCUGAUGCAGCGACGCCGCGUGAGUGAUGAAGGAAUUCGUUUCGUAAAACUCUGUUCUAUGGGAAGAAAAGGACUGUACCAUAGGAGAAAGCUCCGGCUAAAUACGUGCCAGCAGCCGCGGUAAUACGUAUGGAGCGAGCGUUGUCCGGGAUUAUUGGGCGUAAAGGGUGCGCAGGCGGCUUUACAAGUUGGAUGUGAAAUAUUGUGGCUCAACCACAAACGUGCAUCCAAAACUGCAAAGCUUGAGUUAAGGAGAGGUAAGUGGAAUUCCUGGUGUAGCGGUGGAAUGCGUAGAUAUCAGGAGGAAUACCGGUGGCGAAGGCGACUUACUGGACUUAAACUGACGCUCAGGCACGAAAGCGUGGGGAGCAAACAGG
RNAcentral lists this ribosomal RNA (404 nucleotides) under Fusobacteriota bacterium. RNAcentral describes it as "Fusobacteria bacterium partial 16S ribosomal RNA". It matches the Rfam family "Bacterial small subunit ribosomal RNA", at positions 355 to 776 of the family's 1533-position model. The record is from RNAcentral. Lineage: Bacteria; Fusobacteriati; Fusobacteriota.